This is a non-coding RNA of Vicia faba (fava bean), 225 nucleotides long. The record is from the annotation of a GenBank genome assembly. NCBI's taxonomy places the organism in Eukaryota, Viridiplantae, Streptophyta, Magnoliopsida, Fabales, Fabaceae.
AUGAAAAUCAUGCAUGAUUUGUCAAAGGGUUAUACAACUUCAUUCUCGCCCAUUCGAGGUUAUAACCAUGCAAUUUACAAUCUAUGUUAUUGGAGCAUUACCAUAGAAAAUUACAACGCCAUUUACAUCCAAAAUUACUUAAUCAAAACAAAAUUUUACACUAAAUCUUCGAGUGGCCUAAACCUAAAGAGUCCCAAGUUCCAGUUCUCCAUCAUUCAUUUCUAA